AGUAAAAGUCGUAACAAGGUCUCCGUAGGUGAACCUGCGGAAGGAUCAUUACCGAGUGCGGGCCCCUCGGGGCCCAACCUCCCACCCGUGUUGCCCGAACCUAUGUGGCCUCGGCGGGCCCCGCGCCCGCCGACGGCCCCCCUGAACGCUGUCUGAAGUUGCAGUCUGAGACCUAUAACGAAAUUAGUUAAAACUUUCAACAACGGAUCUCUUGGUUCCGGCAUCGAUGAAGAACGCAGCGAAAUGCGAUAACUAAUGUGAAUUGCAGAAUUCAGUGAAUCAUCGAGUCUUUGAACGCACAUUGCGCCCUCUGGUAUUCCGGAGGGCAUGCCUGUCCGAGCGUCAUUGCUGCCCUCAAGCCCGGCUUGUGUGUUGGGCCCCGUCCCCCCCGCCGGGGGGACGGGCCCGAAAGGCAGCGGCGGCACCGCGUCCGGUCCUCGAGCGUAUGGGGCUUCGUCACCCGCUCUAGUAGGCCCGGCCGGCGCCAGCCGACCCCCAACCUUUAAUUAUCUCAGGUUGACCUCGGAUCAGGUAGGGAUACCCGCUGAACUUAAGCAUAUCAAUAAGCGGAGGAAAAGAAACCAACAGGGAUUGCCCCAGUAACG
This 605-nucleotide ribosomal RNA is filed under the name uncultured fungus. Its description in RNAcentral is "eukaryotic LSU rRNA". The stretch from base 192 to 345 matches the Rfam family "5.8S ribosomal RNA". Lineage: Eukaryota; Fungi. The record is from RNAcentral.